GACGAACGCUGGCGGCGUGCUUAACACAUGCCAGUCGAACGGAAAGGCCCUGCUUUUGUGGGGUGCUCGAGUGGCGAACGGGUGAGUAACACGUGAGUAACCUGCCCUUGACUUUGGGAUAACUUCAGGAAACUGGGGCUAAUACCGGAUAGGAGCCCCUGCUGCAUGGUGGGGGUUGGAAAGUUUCGGCGGUUGGGGGUGGACUCGCGGCUUAUCAGCUUGUUGGUGGGGUAGUGGCUUACCAAGGCUUUGACGGGUAGCCGGCCUGAGAGGGUGACCGGCCACAUUGGGACUGAGAUACGGCCCAGACUCCUACGGGAGGCAGCAGUGGGGAAUAUUGCACAAUGGGCGGAAGCCUGAUGCAGCAACGCCGCGUGCGGGAUGACGGCCUUCGGGUUGUAAACCGCUUUCGCCUGUGACGAAGCGUGAGUGACGGUAAUGGGUAAAGAAGCACCGGCUAACUACGUG
RNAcentral lists this ribosomal RNA (468 nucleotides) under uncultured bacterium. RNAcentral's name for it is "partial 16S ribosomal RNA". It matches the Rfam family "Bacterial small subunit ribosomal RNA", at positions 28 to 507 of the family's 1533-position model. The record is from RNAcentral.